Molecule: ribosomal RNA, 468 nt
Filed under: uncultured bacterium
Lineage: Bacteria
Description: partial 16S ribosomal RNA
Rfam family: Bacterial small subunit ribosomal RNA
Source: RNAcentral
GACGAACGCUGGCGGCGUGCUUAACACAUGCAAGUCGAACGGAAAGGCCCUGCUUUUGUGGGGUGCUCGAGUGGCGAACGGGUGAGUAACACGUGAGUAACCUGCCCUUGACUUUGGGAUAACUUCAGGAAACUGGGGCUAAUACCGGAUAGGAGCUCCUGCUGCAUGGUGGGGGUUGGAAAGUGUCGGCGGUGGGGGAUGGACUCGCGGCUUAUCAGCUUGUUGGUGGGGUAGUUGCUUACCAAGGCUUUGACGGGUAGCCGGCCUGGGAGGGUGACCGGCCACCUUGGGCCUGAGAUACGGCCCAGUCUCCUACGGGACGCAGCAGUGGGGAAUAUUGCACAAUGGGCGGAAGCCUGAUGCGGCAACGCCGCGUGCGGGAUGACGGCCUUCGGGUUGUAAACCGCUUUCGCCUGUGACGAAGCGUGAGUGACGGUAAUGGGUAAAGAAGCACCGGCUAACUACGUG